AUGUCCUAAGUCAGUGAAAAAAAAAAGUGGAUCGACUCUCUGUCAGCUUCCUCUUUCUUCUUCCUUGGAUGAAUUCUUGUAGCAAAGUCGUGGCUGGUUGGGGUAGGCGGAAUAAGGUAGGCCAGCGUGUUCCUCAAAUUUGGGCCGCUCCCUGUUGGAUUCGGCGGCGCGUGAGCCGGCGGAGAUGAAUCGAAGAAGCAGCCGGCUUUGGUGGAAGAAGGUAGGCCAGCGUGGUCUUCAAAUUCGGGCCGCUUCCUGUUGGAUUCGGCGCCGCGUGAGCCGGCGGAGAUGAAUCGGAGAAGCAGCCGGCUGUAAUCUUUGUGUCGCCUGUCUUGGGAGUUGAUGCAGCGGAGUAGAGAGGGCGAAUGGAGAAAGGGCAAGAUGGUUCUUUUUUCUUCAGAAUAUGCCUAAGCGUAAAGGCCAGUGUGGAGUCGCCUGCAUGAAGCGUUCGUGCAUCUUUGCCGCUGUUCUUAGCUGAAGGGUCAAUGGCUCGGUGACAAUAACUGAAUGGAUAGAAUAAGUGUUCAUGUGGGCAUUGACAGAGUAAUAAGUUGAAAAGUAAAAACGUCAAAGGGAAGUGCUGAGGAGACCAGAUGAGGUACAAAAAGGAAGUAGAAAAAGAACAUAACGAAUGCUGGUGUGAAGAAAGUACCAAAUGAUCAACGAACAUGUAACCAAUUUUAUAGAGGUGCUGAUCUCUGUUCCGAUUCUCCCAUGACCGUGCGAUGCGUACAACGGCACGCCUCGGAAGUCCUCGAGAGGCAGGGAAAACUGAAGGCAUGAGAAAAGAAAAACAGGAAGUUACCGGCGACAAUGGCGGCAGGAGCCUCUUCAAGAGGACGCUUGCCUAGACGUAUCUCCCGCCUGCGAGAUUGUACGUCAGACAUUAAGUGAGAGGCAAAAGGCUGCCCUGUAGAAACAUCCCUGGAAGAAACGACCCGCUGCGAAGCCAUAGGAACAACAGGCUGAUCGACGGCAGAUCCACCACUGCCAACAACACGGACGGAAGAAUCGGCAGUAGAAACAGGCACAACAGAAGGGGGAUGUAGAACAACAGGAGGCAACACACGAACAGCAGGGGCACCAGAUAGCAGAGGAGCACGUACAGGCGGAAGAAAAGAGGCAGGGCCAACAGCAGGAGCAGAAGCAGGAGCACUAUCUUGCAAAAGACGACGGCGGCGUAGAGGUGGAGAAGUAGAGGAGGAAGACGACCGCGGACGCCGACGGCUUGAUCGCUGGGCUACACCACCAAGAGGGUCUACAGCAGGCAAGGAACCUCCGAGAGGAUGUACAACAGGCAAGGAACCAGCCUGAGGCAAAGUGGGAGUUCCAGAAGGCGAUUGAUCAAACCCAACAAAAGCAGCAGGACCAGCUGAAGCAACAGGCGGCGAGGCAACUGCGGCAACAGCAGGAGAGAAGGCCGGGCCGCGGCAGGCAGAACGGGAUCGGCCACGGCGUCCAGAACUCCGGCCUACCGGCCGACAGGACAGCUCAUCCAAUCCACGCCGGCGACGCGGCCGCGAAGACAAAGGAAAAGGAAGUUGCGGUAAAGCCGGCGAUGCGAACGGCAAGGACACCGGGAAAGAUGGCCGGAGAGCACGAAGAGAAGGUAAGCCGCGCUGAUCAUGGAGGCGCGGCAAUAACGGACGCAAAGGAGACGGCGGAGGAACCGACCUUCCUCGCCCACGGCGAGCAGCGCCAUCCAUGCUGAAAUCAGAACCUGCAAGCAGCGGCCUGGCCAAUAUGCCGAUCUCUCCGAUGCGGAGACGUGAGCGGAGGAACCCAGAAGAGGCCUAGCAUGUACAAAACCGAAUAACAAAUUAGGCCCAGAAAGCAGUAGAGGGAAGAAACAGACACGCAGAGAGGAUACGUGGCAAAUAAUGGCAACGGAAGUUGCCGUAAAACAUGCACAUCCGGUAGAAUUGGAUGAAACCGGAGAUCAAAGGUAGAAAAUAAGUUGUAAUCGUGGAGCAGCCGGUCCGUAUCUGGAGGUUUGACCGCUGCCUGCCGGUAAUCGUGUAAUUUAGGAAGGAAAAAAAAGAAAAGGAAAGGAAAGGAAAGGAAUUCCGGCUGGGGCAGAAACGAUCGCCCGUGAACAGUGGAAAAUUCUAUCGUGUCUAACCGUGAUUGGUGCAAACUGGGAGGGCAACAGUACCCAAAUAAAUCUCCUUGCGGCAGAUCGGGUUAACUUUUAUAUAGUGAAUA
Molecule: long non-coding RNA, 2205 nt
Organism: Lolium rigidum
Lineage: Eukaryota; Viridiplantae; Streptophyta; Magnoliopsida; Poales; Poaceae
Exons: 4
Source: RefSeq, a predicted model, not a curated record